GCCCAGGUGGCGGAAUAGGCAGACGCGCUAGCUUGAGGGGCUAGUGGGAUAUUAUCCCGUGCUGGUUCGACUCCAGUCCUGGGCA
Molecule: transfer RNA, 85 nt
Filed under: Phycisphaerae bacterium
Lineage: Bacteria; Pseudomonadati; Planctomycetota; Phycisphaerae
Also listed under: 1 other name
Description: tRNA-Leu
Rfam family: tRNA
About the family: Transfer RNA (tRNA) molecules are approximately 80 nucleotides in length.
Source: RNAcentral